UUGACUGCAUCUGGAUUCACAGGACGAGUGAACUUUUCCAUCCAUCGUUGUAAGUGUCAAAGCACUGCCUGAUAAGGCUCUCUUGACAACAUAUGGACAUUCAUAGCUUGAAGUUCACUUGCCCCUGGAAUCGGGCACGAAAGACAAGACUUUCUUUAGCACAAGGUCACCUUCUCGGAACACACGAGGCUUGACCUUUUUAUCGAAUGCUUUCUUCACUCUCUACUGAUUUAACUGACUAUGCCACAUGGCAGUUGAUCUCUUC
Molecule: long non-coding RNA, 265 nt
Filed under: Lathyrus oleraceus (garden pea)
Lineage: Eukaryota; Viridiplantae; Streptophyta; Magnoliopsida; Fabales; Fabaceae
Description: Pisum sativum (pea) long non-coding RNA (PSAT_LNC006661)
Source: RNAcentral